Molecule: long non-coding RNA, 3906 nt
Organism: Chroicocephalus ridibundus (black-headed gull)
Lineage: Eukaryota; Metazoa; Chordata; Aves; Charadriiformes; Laridae
Exons: 5
Source: RefSeq, a predicted model, not a curated record
CUCCUCCUCCUCCUCCUCCUCCUCGCCCAGCCCCGCCGGAGCCCCGCAGCAGCCGUGAGAGGCAGCCUGUCUGAUCCCUGUCAAAUGCCGACGGCUUCCCUCCCCCGUCUGCUCCACUGGGACAGUCUGCCAUCACAUGGCUGGAGGCACCAGAGCUGCUUGCUGCAGUCCCAUGGUGGCUCCCCUGCUCUCAGGCACAUCCCUGGCAGCUGCCCUUCCCGCUGCCUUUGGGGGAAACCUGCCGCUUCACCCGCCGCAGCCCCGACAGCCAAGUGUCUCAGAGGGGUUUCCUCCAGCAGCUGCUCCAGAGGCUCCUCAGGAGACAUGUCUUGCCUCAUCCCAGCUGGCUGCUGGUGGUGGCCACUGUGAAGAGCUUUCAGGCCUUCUCUGAAGUCCCAGGGGAGAGUGACGUGCUAUGAGACAGGUAUCUGUCAGCUCCACCGUCCCAGGGAGUGAUACCCAGAGCCGGCAGUCAGGGCAGCCGGGGAUCACACCAACAGCGUGCACGUGUUGCGCAAUUCCCCUUCUCACGUUCGGACUUCAGGUGCACCAGAAACCAAGGCAGGGAGUGACAAGUCUGUCCAGGCUUCCCUCCCACACUGUGAGCUGCUGGAGACGGCCUGCAGAAGAAAGGCUGUUCGAGUUUGUGCCCACAGAACAGACCUGUGUCUCUGAAGAAACAGGGAAGGAUGCUGUAAAAACAGCUACAUAUGUUGUGGAGGAGGCGCGGAGCACAGGAAGGUCUCCAGCCAGCCCCCGGGAGAGAGGAGCUCGUGCAAACCAAGAGCACAGGCUUGAAACAUCCACACCUGUCCUCCUGCACGCCGCCUGAGGUGGGGCAGCCCGGACCACCCGGGGCAGCUCCCUUUGGACAAGGACGUUGCUUACCAUCUCCCACGGAUGGACUUAACCUUGCUGCUGGGUUUGGAGGGCACCAAUAUUUGCCCAGGGGGUUUACUAUUGCUGGCCCUUCCCAGCCCAUGAGAAGCCACCUGCUGGUGAGGCCCCAUCUCUACAUCCAGCAUCAGGCAUGAGGUGCUGUAUUUCUUCCACCGAGGGACGUCCAGGCUACAAAGAAGGUGCCUGGGCCACGUGGCAGGCUCCUUUCUCGCUCUGCAGGCUGCUACGAGGUAUUGUGCAAUACGUCUCUGCCAAAUUUUUUAUUUUACUUCCACCAAAGAAUACAUCUUACACUGGCGUGGUGGUAGGGGAGGCCCAGUAACACAAGUUUUAUAACAGGCUUUUUUCUCCCCACUGCAAAGUACUGGCCUUUUCUGCAGACUCUGUUGGUGUUUUGGGCCCCCGGUGCUCCACACGUGCGGGCACUGUCUCUUGGGCUGGGCUUUCACAUCCGCACUCCCAGAAGCCCUGGCAGAGCAGGACAGCUGUCAGACGCCCGUCCCCAAGACCUGCUGGUGAAGAUGCUGCUAAAGGAGGAGCCGAUGUGUCCCCCCCUUCCCUGCCUGCCGCACCGCAGGCAGAUGGGCACGGCUUGUGCAGUGUCACUGGCCCAGGGAAGCAACCUUCAGUUGAAGCUGUGGGAUGUGGGCAGCAAAGACUUCUCGUCUAGACAGAUGGCUCAUCCCAGACACAGACGCUUGGCUUGGACACCCCCUCAACCCACCUCCCUACGGAGAGCGAGCGCAGGUCAGUCCGGGACCCUCGUCUGCUGCCCUCACGGUCUCUGAAAAGGAGCAACCAGCCAUCGGUGCUGGCGGCGUGUGAGCUUUUCCUUCCCAGUCCCCUCCGACCCUUUCUUGGAUGCAAGCAGCUACGGCGAAUACUGAAUGUGACUUCGUCGGCCAUAGCUAUCAGCCCUCCCCCCUCCUAAUCCUUAAGGCUGUGGAUGAUUUCCUCUGUGGCCGGACGCCGGGAUGCUGGUGACCCACUUCUCGAGUCUGAAGGCAUCGUGGAGCACAGGGUAGCCACAGCGCCCCGCAGCUCUGUUGAAGAUGAAGUGCUGGCAGCCGGGAGGCAGCAAGGGUUGAAUGCGAUUGCUUCUGAGAUGCACCCUGCGCGCUUCUCCCCAGCAGAUGCUCCUGCCAUUGCUGCCUGACAAAACGUGCCCUCGACCCACAAGAACAGGCUCCCUGCAGGUGUAACCUGGCUGGGGGUGACCGGCUUCAAUUUCAUCCUGCCAAGGAGCUGGCCCCGCGCUCUCUGCCGAAAGCCUCCAAGGACCCUAUUAAGCUGGGGGCUCCUAGACCUUUUUUUUUCCUGAGGAGCAGCUUUAUAUAAGUGGGCUGUGCCUCAUCGAUGCAAUUUGCACUGUUGUCCUUUCCUGGCCCAUCCUCUGAGCAUUUCAUUGUGGCAUCUGGCACUGCUGUGCUAACUCCUACCUGGCGCCGUCCUCCCUCGGCUGAGCUCAGCCUGACGGAACAGUCGAUUUAUAUACUGGAGACACUCACGUCAACGGCUGUGUGCAGCUGCAAUUGUCACUCCUUUCAAAACCAUCAGCUGGUUGCUUUUCUUUUUUCAACUUUACAUCGCUGUUUCCAAGAAUAUUGGGUGGUUUCUAAGGAUGCUGUGUGCAUAAGACCCUGCCCCGCCAAGGUUAUAAACUCACAUAUGCUUUGGUGUGUUAACAGAUGGGGUACUUGGGCAUGUCACUGUCCCUGAGAGUCUGUCUAGCCCCUGAAGCUGACCUGAUGUCUGAUGCUGAUUUUCCAAAGCAGAAAAUCUCCAUGGGCCCCUGAGUCCAGGCAAGGUCUUGUGGGUGAGCUCAGUCUAAACUCCAAGCGACCACAACUCGCUGUGCUACGUAUUUCUGUGCAUAGGCUUGCUCAGCCUCAGCAGAAACACUGAACAGUGCAUUGUACCUAGUUAUGCAGCUUAUCUCAUUUUCAGACUCUCCCUAAAUACUUGCAGUCAACAGUUGUGUUCAGUUUGUUCUGGACUCCGGGCUCCCUCCAGGGACAAGGCUGUCCCGGGGGGAGUGUGGUCUCCUGCUAAACACGCUGGAAACAGGCGAUGAGGCAUGUAGUCCUUGGGCUUGAACUGGAGAAUAUGGUGUUAUUUCUCUAGUAAGGGUACUGGCUCCUAUUGUACACCCCUGUCCUAAAUCCCACCCUAUUCUGCCCGAGGGAAGCCACCAGCUGCUGUGUUUUCCCAUGGCUUGUUGCAGGGUCACUGUCUUCAGCAAAGCAAGUUUCUCAUGGUAUUUUAGCAUUCGUACAGACCCUGUGUCCCUGUCAGGGUCUUUUCCAUCGUUCCUGACCAGGUUGUGGCUGCAACACAUGUAAUCAGGCAGUGGGACAAAGACUGCAUAACAAAAUUCUCAGCAACGUUUAUUUGAGAGAUUCAGCCACUGUGAUGAAAGGCCCUGUCCUGAUCCUGUUGACUGUAAUGGACAUUUCGCUAAUAACCUCAGGAGACCAGGAUCUGACUUUCCCUGAUUUGUGAACAAGACCACUGUAGCUUUGGGAGAAAUGAAAUCCUUUCCCCUACUGUUUGGAUGGGCAUCAUGCUUCUUCUUUGGAUGAUGUUCUCACAACGGGCAAUUACCUGAGACAUGGUGCAGCGUGUGUCAGAGGAGUGUACUGUGGCAAUUUCGCUCAUCGUCAUAAAUUUAGCCCUGAGCCUGGAAGAUGGCUUGUACUAGCCCGAGCAGAGCUAAGGUUACCUCCAUGGUCACAGCCCUGCAUUUCUGGUCUGCGCAAUCGCUGGUGCUGCAGAACCCAGGUUUGAACUUCCAUUUCUUUUUAUUCUUUCCUAACAGACUUGGUAGAGGAAGGGGUGUUGAGAUGGUUUCUCUGUCUUCCCCCGAGUUUUAUAUUUCUGGAAUAUGUCUCAAAUGUACUUACGGAAAAGGAAUGCAAUUCAGCAGUCUGGCUGCGCUAGCAGAGCAAAUGUUUUGCUGGUGGUAGCUCUUUCCCCCUUCAUGUUAGCACUGAAUUUGUUCUGGUG